RNAcentral lists this transfer-messenger RNA (642 nucleotides) under Nocardioides sp. OK12. The stretch from base 1 to 93 matches the Rfam family "transfer-messenger RNA", at positions 280 to 374 of the family's 374-position model. Lineage: Bacteria; Bacillati; Actinomycetota; Actinomycetes; Propionibacteriales; Nocardioidaceae. The record is from RNAcentral.
ACCGGGGCUGAGAAAACGACAUCACAGACUGCACCCGGAGAAGACCAGGUUCGACGCUCGAGGACGCGGGUUCGAUUCCCGCCAGCUCCACUGACUGACUGACACGCGGGCGUGUUCCCGAAAGGAUGACGCGCUUGUUCCCGAAAGCCUCUUGAGAGAAGUGCCCGGAGCCCCGCAGGGGUUCCGGGCACUUAUUCGUUGCCGUUCAGGGCGCGGUUGUCCCUGCGUUGCCCGCGUUUCGCGAGCCGACGGCCCGGGCUGUGGGUGGGCGCCCGCGUGGGGGCAGCACUUCAGCCCUCAUGCCUGUGGCGCUGAGGGUGCGGGUGCGGUUGAUGCGGAGGUGGGCACAGAGUGGGCCAACCCGUAGACGAGCUCCUGGUCCCAUGGCAGGGUGCCGAGGUGACCGAAGCUGCCUGGCUUUCCCUAGAAGCGACCCUGAUGACAACGCACGCCAUCGAGGCCUACGGCGGCGUGCAACUUGGACGCCAGGCGCUGGAGACGGCGGCCGCGUCCCUCAGUGGUGGGCAGAUCCCCAUGCAGGUGGAGCAUGAUCAGACACGACCGCUUCGGGUCCGGGAUCUUGUGGCUUGGGUGGAAGACGGUGACGACGGCUUCUCGCGGCUGAAGGUACGAUACGACGUG